This 498-nucleotide ribosomal RNA is filed under the name uncultured bacterium. Its description in RNAcentral is "bacterial SSU rRNA". It matches the Rfam family "Bacterial small subunit ribosomal RNA", at positions 29 to 530 of the family's 1533-position model. The record is from RNAcentral.
AAUGAACGUUGGCAGCGUGGAUUAGGCAUGCAAGUCGAGCGACAAGGUCCCUUGGACGUGGAGGAGCGGCAAACGGGGUAGGUAAUACAUCGGAACGUACCCUCACGUCUGGGAUAGCCACGGGAAACUGUGGGUAAUACUGGAUAAUCUCACCACUUGUUGAAGAGUGGUGAGCAAAGGUCCGCCGCGUGAGGAGCGGCCGAUGCGAUACUAGAUAGUUGGUGGGGUAAUGGCCUACCAAGUCUAAGAUGUCUAGGGGGUGUGAGAGCAUGGCCCCCACCACUGGGACUGAGACACUGCCCAGACACCUACGGGUGGCUGCAGUCGAGAAUCUUUGGCAAUGGGCGCAAAGCCUGACCAAGCGACGCUGCGUGCGGGAUGAAGGCCCUUGGGUUGUAAACCCCUUUCAUGAGGAAAGAUAAAGUGGGUAACCACUUAGACGGUACCUCAAGAAGAAGCCACGGCUAACUUCGUGCCAGCAGCCGCGGUAAAGUCUAG